Molecule: ribosomal RNA, 2540 nt
Filed under: uncultured Alphaproteobacteria bacterium
Lineage: Bacteria; Pseudomonadati; Pseudomonadota; Alphaproteobacteria
Description: bacterial SSU rRNA
Rfam family: Bacterial small subunit ribosomal RNA (bases 1-1454)
Source: RNAcentral
GAGUUUGAUCCUGGCUCAAAACGAACGCUGGCGGCAGGCCUAACACAUGCAAGUCGAGCGCUACCUUCGGGUGGAGCGGCGGACGGGUUAGUAACGCGUGGGAAUAUACCCUUCACUAUGGAAUAGCCUCGGGAAACUGAGAGUAAUACCAUAUACGCCCUUCGGGGGAAAGAUUUAUCGGUGAAGGAUUAGCCCGCGUAAGAUUAGAUAGUUGGGGGGGUAAUGGCCUACCAAGUCUACAAUCUUUAGCUGGUUUUAGAGGAUGAUCAGCACCACUGGGACUGAGACACGGCCCAAACUCCUACGGGAGGCAGCAGUGGGGAAUCUUAGACAAUGGGCGCAAGCCUGAUCUAGCCAUGCCGCGUGAGUGAUGAAGGUCUUAGGAUCGUAAAGCUCUUUCGCUAGGGAUGAUAAUGACAGUACCUAGUAAAGAAGCCCCGGCUAACUCCGUGCCAGCAGCCGCGGUAAUACGGAGGGGGCUAGCGUUGUUCGGAAUUACUGGGCGUAAAGCGUACGUAGGCGGAUCAAAAAGUAUGGGGUGAAAUCCCAGGGCUUAACCCUGGAACUGCCUCAUAAACUCCUGGUCUUGAGUCGAGAGAGGUGAGUGGAAUUCCAAGUGUAGAGGUGAAAUUCGUAGAUAUUUGGAGGAACACCCAGUGGCGAAGGCGGCUCACUGGCUCGAUACUGACGCUGAGGUACGAAAGUGUGGGGAGCAAACAGGAUUAGAUACCCUGGUAGUCCACACCGUAAACGAUGAAUGCCAGUCGUCGGGCAGUAUACUGUUCGGUGACACACCUAACGGAUUAAGCAUUCCGCCUGGGGAGUACGGUCGCAAGAUUAAAACUCAAAGGAAUUGACGGGGGCCCGCACAAGCGGUGGAGCAUGUGGUUUAAUUCGAAGCAACGCGCAGAACCUUACCAACCCUUGACAUGCCUGGACAAUCCGAGAGAUCGGACUUUCCUUCGGGACCAGUGCACAGGUGCUGCAUGGCUGUCGUCAGCUCGUGUCGUGAGAUGUUCGGUUAAGUCCGGCAACGAGCGCAACCCACAUCUUUAGUUGCCAGCAGGUUAAGCUGGGCACUCUAGAGAAACUGCCCGUGAUAAGCGGGAGGAAGGUGUGGAUGACGUCAAGUCCUCAUGGCCCUUACGGGUUGGGCUACACACGUGCUACAAUGGCAGUGACAAUGGGUUAAUCCCAAAAAGCUGUCUCAGUUCGGAUUGGGGUCUGCAACUCGACCCCAUGAAGUCGGAAUCGCUAGUAAUCGCGUAACAGCAUGACGCGGUGAAUACGUUCCCGGGCCUUGUACACACCGCCCGUCACGCCAUGGGAGUUGGUUCUACCCGACGGCCGUGCGCUAACCUCUUCGGAGGAGGCAGCGGACCACGGUAGGAUUAGCGACUGGGGUGAAGUCGUAACAAGGUAGCCGUBAAUCACUAGUGAAUUCARBCUNCUUURDAHARUBACURUMCNARCCUACGGGGGGCAGCAGUGGGGAAUAUUGCACAAUGGGGGCAACCCUGAUGCAGCCAUGCCGCGUGUGUGAAGAAGGCCUUCGGGUUGUAAAGCACUUUCAGUUGUGAGGAAAGGUUAGUAGUUAAUACCUGCUAGCUGUGACGUUAACAACAGAAGAAGCACCGGCUAACUCCGUGCCAGCAGCCGCGGUAAUACGGAGGGUGCGAGCGUUAAUCGGAAUUACUGGGCGUAAAGCGCACGCAGGCGGUCUGUUAAGCUAGAUGUGAAAGCCCCGCGCUCAACGUGGGAGGGUCAUUUAGAACUGGCAGACUAGAGUCUUGGAGAGGGGAGUGGAAUUCCAGGUGUAGCGGUGAAAUGCGUAGAGAUCUGGAGGAACAUCAAUGGCGAAGGCAACUCCCUGGCCAAAGACUGACGCUCAUGUGCGAAAGUGUGGGUAGCGAACAGGAUUAGAUACCCUGGUAGUCCACACCGUAAACGCUGUCUACUAGCUGUUUGUGGAUUUAAUCCGUGAGUAGCGAAGCUAACGCGAUAAGUAGACCGCCUGGGGAGUACGGCCGCAAGGUUAAAACUCAAAUGAAUUGACGGGGGCCCGCACAAGCGGUGGAGCAUGUGGUUUAAUUCGAUGCAACGCGAAGAACCUUACCUACUCUUGACAUACUAGAAACUUUUCAGAGAUGAAUUGGUGCCUUCGGGAAUCUAGAUACAGGUGCUGCAUGGCUGUCGUCAGCUCGUGUCGUGAGAUGUUGGGUUAAGUCCCGCAACGAGCGCAACCCUUGUCCUUAGUUACCAGCAUUAAGUUGGGUACUUUAAGGAGACUGCCGGUGACAAACCGGAGGAAGGUGGGGACGACGUCAAGUCAUCAUGGCCCUUACGAGUAGGGCUACACACGUGCUACAAUGGCAUAUACAGAGUGCAGCGAGACCGCGAGGUGGAGCGAAUCACACAAAGUACGUCGUAGUCCGGAUUGGAGUCUGCAACUCGACUCCAUGAAGUCGGAAUCGCUAGUAAUCGUAGAUCAGAAUGCUACGGUGAAUACGUUCCCGGGCCUUGUACACACCGCCCGUCAR